This 550-nucleotide ribosomal RNA is filed under the name Macaca mulatta (Rhesus monkey). RNAcentral describes it as "partial 16S ribosomal RNA". It matches the Rfam family "Bacterial large subunit ribosomal RNA", at positions 1816 to 2597 of the family's 2925-position model. The record is from RNAcentral. Lineage: Eukaryota; Metazoa; Chordata; Mammalia; Primates; Cercopithecidae.
CACCUCUAGCAUUACUAGUAUUAGAGGCACUGCCUGCCCAGUGACACACGUUUAACGGCCGCGGUACCCUGACCGUGCAAAGGUAGCAUAAUCACUUGUUCUUUAAAUAGGGACUCGCAUGAAAGGCACCACGAGGGUUUAACUGUCUCUUACUUUUAACCAGUGAAAUUGACCUGUCCGUGAAGAGACGGACAUAAGAUAAUAAGAUGAGAAGACCCUAUGGAGCUUUAAUCUAUUAAUGCAAUCAAAAAUCACACAAACCCACGGACCUUUAAACUACUACACCUGCAUUAAAAAUUUUGGUUGGGGCGACCUCAGAGCACAACAAAACCUCCGAACAACACAUGCUAAGACCACACAAGUCAAAGCAAACUAGCACUUACAAUUGAUCCAAUAAUUUGAUCAACGGAACAAGUUACCCUAGGGAUAACAGCGCAAUUCUAUUCUAGAGUCCAUAUCGACAAUAGAGCUUACGACCUCGAUGUUGGAUCAGGACAUCCUAAUGGUGCAGCAGCUAUCAAGGGUUCGUUUGUUCAACGAUUAAAGUCCU